This 90-nucleotide transfer RNA is filed under the name Ruminococcus sp. Its description in RNAcentral is "tRNA-Ser". It matches the Rfam family "tRNA". From Rfam's summary of the family: Transfer RNA (tRNA) molecules are approximately 80 nucleotides in length. Their secondary structure includes four short double-helical elements and three loops (D, anti-codon, and T loops). The record is from RNAcentral. Lineage: Bacteria; Bacillati; Bacillota; Clostridia; Eubacteriales; Oscillospiraceae.
GCGGAUUUACUCAAGUGGUUAAGAGGAUCCCCUGCUAAGGGAUUAGGCCGAGGAAUCGGUGCGAGAGUUCGAAUCUCUUGAUCCGCGCCA